This 253-nucleotide ribosomal RNA is filed under the name uncultured bacterium. RNAcentral describes it as "partial 16S ribosomal RNA". It matches the Rfam family "Bacterial small subunit ribosomal RNA", at positions 524 to 776 of the family's 1533-position model. The record is from RNAcentral.
UACGUAGGGUGCGAGCGUUAAUCGGAAUUACUGGGCGUAAAGUGUGCGCAGGUGGCCGCGCAAGUCGAGUGUGAAAUCCCCGAGCUUAACUUGGGAAUUGCGCUCGAAACUACGUGGCUCGAGUGUGGCAGAGGAAGGUGGAAUUCCACGUGUAGCGGUGAAAUGCGUAGAGAUGUGGAGGAACACCGAUGGCGAAGGCAGCCUUCUGGGCCAACACAGACGCUCAUGCACGAAAGCGUGGGGAGCAAGCAGG